Molecule: ribosomal RNA, 490 nt
Filed under: uncultured bacterium
Lineage: Bacteria
Description: partial 16S ribosomal RNA
Rfam family: Bacterial small subunit ribosomal RNA
Source: RNAcentral
AAUGAACGCUGGCGGCAUGCCUUACACAUGCAAGUCGAACGGCAGCAUGACCUAGCUUGCUAGGUUGAUGGCGAGUGGCGAACGGGUGAGUAAUGCAUCGGAACGUUCCUUUUAGUGGGGGAUAACGUAGCGAAAGUUACGCUAAUACCGCAUAUUCUCUGAGGAGGAAAGCAGGGGACCUUCGGGCCUUGCGCUAGAAGAGCGGCCGAUGUCGGAUUAGCUAGUUGGUGAGGUAAAGGCUCACCAAGGCAACGAUCCGUAGCGGGUCUGAGAGGAUGAUCCGCCACACUGGGACUGAGACACGGCCCAGACUCCUACGGGAGGCAGCAGUGGGGAAUUUUGGACAAUGGGCGCAAGCCUGAUCCAGCCAUGCCGCGUGAGUGAAGAAGGCCUUCGGGUUGUAAAGCUCUUUCGGCUGGGAAGAAAUCGCACCCUCUAAUACAGGGUGUGGAUGACGGUACCAGCAGAAGAAGCACCGGCUAACUACGUG